GUCGAACGAGAAAGCCGCUUUCGAGUGGUGAGUACAGUGGCGGACGGGUGAGUAACACGUGGGCAACUUGCCCCUGGGUUGGGGAUAACACUUCUAACGGAGUGCUAAUACCGAAUGACAUAACAGGUUUAUGACUCGUUAUUAAAGAUGGCCUCUACUUGUAAGCUGUCGCCUAGGGAUGGGCCCGCGUCGUAUUAGCUAGUUGGUGGGGUAAUGGCCUACCAAGGCGACGAUGCGUAGCCGGCCUGAGAGGGUGAACGGUCACACUGGCACUGAGACAAGGGCCAGUCUCCUACGGGAGCCAGCAGUCUAUAAAUUUGCACAAUCGCCGAAAGGCGGAUGCAGCGACACCACGUGGAGGAUGAAGCCGUUCGCGGUGUAAACUCCUGUCAGAAGGGAAGAAGGUACGGCCGCUAAUAUCGGUCGUUACUUGACGGUACCUUCAAAGGAAGCUCCGGCUAACUACGUGCCAGCAGCCGCGGUAAUACGUAGGGAGCGAGCGUUGUUCGGAUUUACUGGGCGUAAAGAGCAUGUAGGCGGGUAUGCAAGUCAGUUGUGAAAUCCUCUGGCUCAACCAGAGAACUGCAGCUGAAACUGUAUACCUUGAGUCCAACAGAGGGAAUCGGAAUCAAAGGUGUAGCGGUGAAAUGCGUAGAUAUCUUUGAGAACACCAGUGGCGAAGGCGGAUUCCUGGGUUGGUACUGACGCUGAGAUGCGAAAGCUAGGGGAGCGAACAGGAUUAGAUACCCUGGUAGUCCUAGCCGUAAACGAUGGGUACUAGGUGUUGGGGGACAUUGACCCCCUCAGUGCCGUAGCUAACGCAUUAAGUACCCCGCCUGGGGAGUACGGCCGCAAGGCUGAAACUCAAAGGAAUUGACGGGGACCCGCACAAGCAGUGAGCAUGUUGCUUAAUUCGAUGCAACGCGAAGAACCUUACCAGGGCUUGACAUCCGAGGAAUAUCUUGCAAACAGAGGGUGCCUUCGGGAACCUCGAGACAGGUGCUGCAUGCUGUCGUCAGCUCGUGUCGUGAGAUGUUGGAUAGUCCCGCACGAGCGCACCCCUGUCAUAGCUGCAUCAGUAUGCUGGACUCUAAGGAACAGUCUGUGACAGCAGAGAGGUGGAUGACGUCAGUCAUCAUGGCGACUCUACGUCUGGGGCGGCAACCGUGUCAAAAUGGCUUGUUACAAGGGGCUGCGAAAUUCGUCGGAGGUUGCUAACUCAAAUUCG
This 1228-nucleotide ribosomal RNA is filed under the name uncultured Pseudomonadota bacterium. RNAcentral describes it as "uncultured proteobacterium partial 16S ribosomal RNA". It matches the Rfam family "Bacterial small subunit ribosomal RNA", at positions 61 to 1283 of the family's 1533-position model. Lineage: Bacteria; Pseudomonadati; Pseudomonadota. The record is from RNAcentral.